CAGUCAUUUUCCAUGACUGUUUGAUUCUUACCGGGGAAAAGGGUGCUAUUCUGGAGAAAAGAGUUACAGAUCUCAUGCUGGAAGAAUUCCUUUCAUAUGGGCCACAAGAUGAUCCUGGAAAGAUGGGUAAGCCUCUAUUUAGGAGGACUGUAGAUGGGGAAAUAUUGGAGUGGAAAGUUGAAAACGAUGCGCCACUAUGCACGCUGCAAGAAGCUUUUGAGAAGGUUGAGCAUUCAGUUGGUUUUAAUAUAGAGUUGAAGUUUGAUGAUCUGGGUUGGAGCAUUAGAGCAAGUUGCUCCUCUUUGUAGAUUAUCAGAUCAUCAAACUUCA
Molecule: unclassified non-coding RNA, 330 nt
Filed under: Hevea brasiliensis (rubber tree)
Lineage: Eukaryota; Viridiplantae; Streptophyta; Magnoliopsida; Malpighiales; Euphorbiaceae
Source: RNAcentral